GACGAACGCUGGCGGCGUGCUUAACACAUGCAAGUCGAACGGAAAGGCCCUGCUUUUGUGGGGUGCUCGAGUGGCGAACGGGUGAGUAACACGUGAGUAACCUGCCCUGGACUUUGGGAUAACUUCAGGAAACUGGGGCUAAUACCGGAUAGGAGCUCCUGCUGCAUGGUGGGGGUUGGAAAGUUUCGGCGGUUGGGGAUGGACUCGCGGCUUAUCAGCUUGUUGGUGGGGUAGUGGCUUACCAAGGCUUUGACGGGUAGCCGGCCUGAGAGGGUGACCGGCCACAUUGGGACUGAGAUACGGCGCAGACUCCUAUGGGAGGCAGCAGUGGGGAAUAUUGCACAAUGGUCGGAAGCCUGAGGCAGCAACGUCGCGGUCGGGAUGACGGCCUUCGGGUUGUAAACCGCUUUCGCCUGUGACGAAGCGUGAGUGACGGUAAUGGGUAAAGAAGCACCGGCUAACUACGUG
This 468-nucleotide ribosomal RNA is filed under the name uncultured bacterium. Its description in RNAcentral is "partial 16S ribosomal RNA". It matches the Rfam family "Bacterial small subunit ribosomal RNA", at positions 28 to 507 of the family's 1533-position model. The record is from RNAcentral.